This 62-nucleotide transfer RNA is filed under the name Dipterophagus daci. RNAcentral describes it as "tRNA-Leu". The record is from RNAcentral. Lineage: Eukaryota; Metazoa; Arthropoda; Insecta; Strepsiptera; Halictophagidae.
UCUAAAAUGGCAGAAUAGUGCAAUAAACUUAAGAUUUAUAUAUAAUAAUUUAUUUUUUAGAA